AACGCCAUACGGAAGCGCAACGAACAGAUGAAUUAUCUCCGGCUGUCCUCCCGUCUUGAUGCCGUGGUGGCGCGGCUCGACACACAGGCUAAGAUGACCACAAUCACGAAGUCCAUGGGAAAUAUCGUCAAAUCACUCGAGUCGACCCUCGCAACUGGGAAUUUGCAGAAGAUGUCAGAAACUAUGGAUCAGUUUGAAAAGCAGUUUGUUAAUAUGGAGGUGCAGGCGGGGUUUAUGGAGAGUUCGAUGGCCGGAAGCACCUCGCUGUCGACUCCUGAAGGGGAGGUUAAUAGUCUCAUGCAGCAGGUGGCGGACGAUUAUGGCCUCGAGGUAUCGGUCGGCCUCCCCCAGCCGGCCGCUCAUGCCGUCUCGGUGAAGAAUGGUGAGAAGGCGGAGGAGGAUGGCCUUU
This 409-nucleotide long non-coding RNA is filed under the name Olea europaea (common olive). Its description in RNAcentral is "long non-coding RNA (OEUR_LNC000945)". Lineage: Eukaryota; Viridiplantae; Streptophyta; Magnoliopsida; Lamiales; Oleaceae. The record is from RNAcentral.